Long non-coding RNA from Sus scrofa (pig), 988 nucleotides. RefSeq lists it as uncharacterized. Lineage: Eukaryota; Metazoa; Chordata; Mammalia; Artiodactyla; Suidae. The record is from RefSeq and is a predicted model, not a curated record.
AGUCCUUUUUAAGCAUCUCAGUGAUUCCACUGUGUAGCCAAGACUGAGGACUGCUGUGUCUGGUGAGCUGUGGGCUGUGAGUGUGUGCUGUGUGUAAGGUGCACGUGCAAUUCAGUCAACAAACAUUGCCUGAGCCCCUCCUGGUGUUGGGUGGCCUCCUGGUAUAGAGAGCUGGCGUCCAGUGUUUACAGCAGAGACCCCUUCAUGUGCUGACAUGUGGGCAUCUGCUUUGUUCCUUCAAGUUGCUGCCUGGACUGCUCAGCUGCAUGUGGUCUGUGGGUUUUUCUCUCCACUCCCUGGAAAGGAUAUUCGUGCUGCUUCCAGCUCCCGCCACCUUUACCAACAACGCAAGGCAGAGCUCCAUCCUCGGCCAGUGACAGGAUCAGUGGGACCAGACCUGACCUGGACCAUCUUCGGGGUGGACAUCUGACCUCCGUAUGCAUCUGGCUGCUUCCCACCCAGCGAGCCCAUCCUGGUGUGGCCUCUGCAGAAGGAGAGAGGCUUUCCACCAUUGCCGAGAUGUCUGCCUACGCACAACAACUCCAGACCAGGCUCUUGUCCAGGAAGGGCUUUGUGGUCAAGGCUCCGGAAACGGCUUGAAGAGAACAUGCAAAAUGACCAACAGAAGCAGCACAUCUAACAAGCGCUAAGAACCCAGCCAGAAGGCUUUUGGCUGAGUCUCAUGUCAGCAGGCUCUUAUGUGGCACUGGCUCUUCCCUAUGCCUGGGACACCAUUCCCCCAGAAAUCAGCAGGGCUCUGUUCCUUAGCUCCUCCCCCUCUUUGCCGAAAUCUCACCUUUUUGGGAGGCUGACCCUGACCGUCUGUUAAAUACCAGACUGACCCCCACUCCUGCCCUCCUAACCCUCUUCUCCAACCCUAAUUUGCUCACAGCAUUGAGCUCUUUCUAAGAUGCUAAAUAACUUACUUAUUCACUAUGCUUAUGAUUUAAUUCUGUCUUUCCCUGCUGUAAUGUAAGGUCCACAAGGC